UGCGCGGGAAUUCGAUUAUUCGUCGACAACAGACCUUGAUCCUGACUCAGAUUGAACGCUGGCGGCAGGCCUAGCACAUGCAAGUCGAGCGGAUGAUGGGAGCUUGCUCCCGGAUUCAGCGGCGGACGGGUGAGUAAUGCCUAGGAAUCUGCCUGGUAGUGGGGGACAACGUUUCGAAAGGAACGCUAAUACCGCAUACGUCCUACGGGAGAAAGCAGGGGACCUUCGGGCCUUGCGCUAUCAGAUGAGCCUACGUCGGAUUAGCUAGUUGGUGGGGUAAAGGCCUACCAAGGCGACGAUCCGUAACUGGUCUGAGAGGAUGAUCAGUCACACUGGAACUGAGACACGGUCCAGACUCCUACGGGAGGCAGCAGUGGGGAAUAUUGGACAAUGGGCGAAAGCCUGAUCCAGCCAUGCCGCGUGUGUGAAGAAGGUCUUCGGAUUGUAAAGCACUUUAAGUUGGGAGGAAGGGCAGUAAGUUAAUACCUUGCUGUUUUGACGUUACCAACAGAAUAAGCACCGGCUAACUUCGUGCCAGCAGCCGCGGUAAUACGAAGGGUGCAAGCGUUUAUCGGAAUUACUGGGCGUAAAGCGCGCGUAGGUGGUUUGGUAAGAUGGAUGUGAAAUCCCCGGGCUCAACCUGGGAACUGCAUCCAUAACUGCCUGACUAGAGUACGGUAGAGGGUGGUGGAAUUCCCUGUGUAGCGGUGAAAUGCGUAGAUAUAGGAAGGAACACCAGUGGCGAAGGCGACCACCUGGACUGAUACUGACACUGAGGUGCAAAAGCGUGGGGAGCAAACAGGAU
RNAcentral lists this ribosomal RNA (805 nucleotides) under uncultured bacterium. RNAcentral describes it as "bacterial SSU rRNA". It matches the Rfam family "Bacterial small subunit ribosomal RNA", at positions 1 to 778 of the family's 1533-position model. The record is from RNAcentral.